GUCUACGGCCAUACCACCCUGAAUGCGCCCAAUCUCAUCUGAUCUCAGAAGCUAAGCAGGGUCGGGCUUGGUUAGUACUUGGAUGACUUCCUCCCUUUAUUGUUAAUAGAGUAAAUUACACUGAUUUGCUUUACACU
Molecule: ribosomal RNA, 137 nt
Filed under: Chinchilla lanigera (long-tailed chinchilla)
Lineage: Eukaryota; Metazoa; Chordata; Mammalia; Rodentia; Chinchillidae
Source: RNAcentral